UUGGAUUGAAUUAGAGAGUUUGGGGUUUGUUGUUAGACCAUUUCUAACUUGUUUAGACUCCUAGGUGGUUACUUUAGGGAUUAGAAUGUGUAGAAGUGAAAUUGGGUGAGUUUAGGGUAAUCAAGUUGGUUUAGGUAGCUACUUUGAGUUAGAAAAGUGUUUUUAGAUGUUUCACAAUGGAUAAAAGGUUCUAAGAAUCAGUUAAACAUGUGUGGAGAGUGUCCAAGGUCAUCUUAAGAGUAUAACAAGUUUUGGUGUCAUGUUGAGCACCCUUUGAGUGUCCUCUUCCAGUGAGUUCUGGUGCUGAGUGCCCCUGAGCGCUCUUUUCUAGUGGCAUCUAGCACCUUGGUGCUCAUUCCAGAAAGUGGGCGCC
RNAcentral lists this long non-coding RNA (373 nucleotides) under Vigna radiata. RNAcentral's name for it is "long non-coding RNA (VRAD_LNC010527)". Lineage: Eukaryota; Viridiplantae; Streptophyta; Magnoliopsida; Fabales; Fabaceae. The record is from RNAcentral.